RNAcentral lists this ribosomal RNA (612 nucleotides) under Clinus heterodon (westcoast klipfish). Its description in RNAcentral is "partial 16S ribosomal RNA". It matches the Rfam family "Bacterial large subunit ribosomal RNA", at positions 1797 to 2612 of the family's 2925-position model. Lineage: Eukaryota; Metazoa; Chordata; Actinopteri; Blenniiformes; Clinidae. The record is from RNAcentral.
CGCCNNUUUAUCAAAAACAUCGCCUCUUGCAGUUUUCUGUAUAAGAGGUCCCGCCUGCCCUGUGAUUAUAUAUUUAACGGCCGCGGUAUUUUGACCGUGCAAAGGUAGCGCAAUCACUUGUCUUUUAAAUGGAGACCUGUAUGAAUGGCAUAACGAGGGUCCAGCUGUCUCCCUUUUCUAGUCAAUGAAAUUGAUCUCCCCGUGCAGAAGCGGGGAUAAGAGCAUAAGACGAGAAGACCCUGUGGAGCUUUAGACCCCGAACCAGAUCAUGUCCAAAAUGCCCCCCCAAGGGAUUAAAACUAAUUGAAGCCUGUUUCGCUGUCUUUGGUUGGGGCGACUGCGGAGUACUAACCAACCCCCGCGUAGAAUGAAGAGACUACCUCUUUAAAGUAAAGAUCCACACCUCUAAGUAACAGAAUCUCUGACUAAAUAUGAUCCGGCACCCCCGAUCAACGAACCGAGUUACCCCAGGGAUAACAGCGCAAUCCUCUUCCAGAGCCCAUAUCGACAAGGGGGUUUACGACCUCGAUGUUGGAUCAGGACACCCUAAUGGGGCAACCGCUAUUAAGGGUUCGUUUGUUCAACGAUUAAAGUCCUACGUGAUCUGAGUUC